RNAcentral lists this long non-coding RNA (847 nucleotides) under Marmota monax (woodchuck). Lineage: Eukaryota; Metazoa; Chordata; Mammalia; Rodentia; Sciuridae. The record is from RNAcentral.
GUUUUUUUCUUUCCUAAAUGUUAUCAUUUUUCUAUUUAAAUGCCUGUAAUUUUCACUUAGAGUUGUUUAGAAGCCUGGCUUAUUUUCAAUUUUGCCUCUAGAUUUUUUAGUGCUUGUGGACUUGGGUGUUUCUCGGCUUGGAAGUACUAUGAUAUAGUGGUUAGUUAUGUAGAUUCCAAGAUAAGAUUUCCUGUGCAUUUGAAUCCUGAUUCUACCACUUACUAGCCAUAAGACCAUGACCAAGGCAUUCAAUUUCUCUAUUCCUCAUUUGCUCAUCUGUAAAAUGGAUUUAAUAAUAGUGUUGAUUUCAUUUGUACAUUGAAGGAUUAAAUGGGAAAAUGGAUAUAAAGUAUCUGUUUCAUUAAAUGUUAGUUAUUGAUUUUCAUUUUCUUUGACAGUUUUUAAGGGUCCUCUGUUCAUUUUUUCCAACAUUUUUUCUUUCCAUAUUUUAUUUUGUAUAAUUUAUAUUGAUGUGUCUUCAUGUUCAGUAAUCUCUUCUUCUAUAAUGUUAAGUGUGCUAUUAAUCUCCUCCAGUGGAAAUUUUAUUUAUGUAUGUGUGUGCAUGUAUGUGUAUGUGUGUGUGUAUGUAUGUGUAUAUAUGUACAUUCCAUGUGUCUACUUAACAUACCUAAUCUUUCUUCCUUCUUGAAGUCAUAAUAACUAUUUUAAUGUCCUUUUGCUGCUAAUUUUACAUUGUAUCAUUUCUAGAACAGUUUCAACUGAUUGAUAUUUUUCUCCCUUUAUUAUGGGUUAUAUUUUCAGACUUUGUACACCUAUUAAUUUUUGGUUGGAUACCAGGCAUUCUGAAUUUUACCUUUUUGGAUACUUCACAUUUUUAUAUUCUUUU